This 424-nucleotide ribosomal RNA is filed under the name uncultured bacterium. RNAcentral's name for it is "bacterial SSU rRNA". It matches the Rfam family "Bacterial small subunit ribosomal RNA", at positions 355 to 775 of the family's 1533-position model. The record is from RNAcentral.
UGAGGAAUAUUGGUCAAUGGGCGCAAGCCUGAACCAGCCAUCCCGCGUGCAGGAAGACGGCGCUAUGCGUUGUAAACUGCUUUUCCAGGGGGAGAAACUUGCGCACGUGUUGCGCAAUUGACGGUACCCUGGGAAUAAGCAUCGGCUAACUCCGUGCCAGCAGCCGCGGUAAUACGGAGGAUGCGAGCGUUAUCCGGAUUCAUUGGGUUUAAAGGGUGCGUAGGCGGACUAUUAAGUCAGUGGUGAAAUCCUGCAGCUUAACUGCAGAACUGCCAUUGAUACUGAUAGCCUUGAGUUUGGUUAAGGUAGGCGGAAUGUGUAAUGUAGCGGUGAAAUGCUUAGAUAUUACACAGAACACCAAUUGCGUAGGCAGCUUACUGAGCCAACACUGACGCUGAGGCAGGAAAGCGUGGGGAUCGAACAG